CCUACGGGUGGCAGCAGUGAGGAAUAUUGGUCAAUGGACGAGAGUCUGAACCAGCCAAGUAGCGUGAAGGAUGACUGCCCUAUGGGUUGUAAACUUCUUUUAUAUGGGAAUAAAAUGUUCCACGUGUGGGAUUUUGUAUGUACCAUAUGAAUAAGGAUCGGCUAACUCCGUGCCAGCAGCCGCGGUAAUACGGAGGAUCCGAGCGUUAUCCGGAUUUAUUGGGUUUAAAGGGAGCGUAGGUGGAUUGUUAAGUCAGUUGUGAAAGUUUGCGGCUCAACCGUAAAAUUGCAGUUGAAACUGGCAGUCUUGAGUACACUAGAGGUGGGCGGAAUUCGUGGUGUAGCGGUGAAAUGCUUAGAUAUCACGAAGAACUCCGAUUGCGAAGGCAGUUCACUGGACUGCAACUGACACUGAGGCUCGAAAGUGUGGGUAUCAAACAGGAUUAGAUACCCUUGUAGUC
RNAcentral lists this ribosomal RNA (460 nucleotides) under uncultured bacterium. Its description in RNAcentral is "partial 16S ribosomal RNA". It matches the Rfam family "Bacterial small subunit ribosomal RNA", at positions 338 to 795 of the family's 1533-position model. The record is from RNAcentral.